This 226-nucleotide unclassified non-coding RNA is filed under the name Hevea brasiliensis (rubber tree). The record is from RNAcentral. Lineage: Eukaryota; Viridiplantae; Streptophyta; Magnoliopsida; Malpighiales; Euphorbiaceae.
UUCGGCUUCGUGCCCGCGCGCUACGACGCCUCGGUGCUGGCCGGGCAGUUUCCCGGUGGUGUCGGCGCCGAGAUCUGGACAUUCCUGACCUACGCCUUCCUGCAUGCGGACAUCACCCACAUCGCAUUCAAUAUGUUGUGGAUGCUCCCGUUCGGCAGUGCGGUCGCGCGCCGGUUCGGCACGGUGCGGUUCUUUGCAUUCUUCGCCGUGACCGCGAUUGCCGGCG